Molecule: long non-coding RNA, 555 nt
Organism: Lolium rigidum
Lineage: Eukaryota; Viridiplantae; Streptophyta; Magnoliopsida; Poales; Poaceae
Exons: 3
Source: RefSeq, a predicted model, not a curated record
UGACGGCGUUAAACGCAGACCAACCAGCUGGACUCCCCGUUAGGGCUGAUUAGGAUGCCAGGUCCAGGUCUGAGCCUCCCUUUAAAGAAGAGGGCCUCCAGUGCUCACCCAGUCCUCACCUCACCAGAUCUGAAUCUCGCAGUCCACCCCGCCGCCUCUAGCUACUAGUACAGAAGAGAUGAGUGGAUGAAAGCUCAAACCCGGCUUUCAUAGAUCCUAGCGGUUUUGAAGUAAUAGCGAGCCUGAUUUUGCUUUUCAUCAAAGCAUCUUGACAGACCAAAAUCUGCAAUUUUUGGCACCAUGUUGUCAUCUAGUAGUAUAUUUGCAGGUUUGAGUUCCAAGUGAAGAGUAUGAAUCUCGUGGAGAUAGUGUCUCCCAUGCAAAUCCCUUGAUUAUUUUGUAGCUUGCUCUCCACUCAAGCUCUCUCAAUUCAGGAUUGAUUGGGCAUUGUACAACUGCAAUGAAGUUGUCCAACACACGUAUGCAUGAGAAGUUCCACCAAGUGGUUGAACUUAAAGAACAAAAAAAAUGUGUUGACACACCAAGAAAGACGGA